This is a non-coding RNA of Pelobates cultripes (western spadefoot toad), 270 nucleotides long. The record is from the annotation of a GenBank genome assembly. Lineage: Eukaryota; Metazoa; Chordata; Amphibia; Anura; Pelobatidae.
CGCAGAGUAGCUGUUGACAUUAUAGUUGCGCAGGCACUUUGUUGACUCUAGAGAACCUUGGGCAAAUCGCAUAUCCCUGUGGCGGCGACUUUCCAUGCGGAUGUCAUCCAUAUAAACUUUCGAUGCCAGUUUCUGCGCCUACCAUGGUGACCACGGGUAACGGGAAAUCAGGGUUUCAUUCUGUACAGGGACCCUGAGAAAUGGCUACCACAUGCUAGGAAGGCAGCAGGCGCGCAAAUUACCCACUCCCGACGCGGGAAGGUAGUGACG